Equus caballus (horse) is the source of this 2445-nucleotide long non-coding RNA. RefSeq lists it as uncharacterized. The record is from RefSeq and is a predicted model, not a curated record. NCBI's taxonomy places the organism in Eukaryota, Metazoa, Chordata, Mammalia, Perissodactyla, Equidae.
CUCAGUGCUCAUGCUUGCUGUGCGCAGUUUUAAGCGUUCCUCCAUCCACAGCUAGGACUCCGAUGGGUGCAUCUGCGAUCAGUCCUUGGUGCUGCGGAGAGAGUGAAGGUCCCACCAGCAGUGACAUGACAUGAUUUGUGGCUCUGCACCUCGUUGCCCUCAUCGAAGAUAGUCAGGAGACCCUAGAAAGAUGCCAUUCACACCCUGGAGUGCUGUGGGCCAUGCAAGAGCAGCUGGACACAGGAGCAGCUUCCUGCCUAGACCCGGGCCGCUUCCCCAGAAAGAGGAACCAGCAGUGGUGGCUGGAGCGUCUGGCGGCGAUAAAAGGUUCUGCCUUCAGGGUUUUUUUGGCCUUAUUUUCUGUUUAAAGAAGGCAUAUUUUCUUCCUUUUAUUUUAUACAUAGGCAGCCUUACAGCAGGAGGCAAACGAGUAGACAGCAGACAAAUCUAUAUGAUGUAAUUCUGAUUGGAAAGAGCAGGGCAUAGCUCUUUUCCAAGGAGACUUGCUGCCACCGAUCAGCCGUGAGAGCGUGGACAAGCCAUUUCAUCUCUCUGGACCUCGGCCUCCUUAUUUGCUCAGAAAUGUCCACUAGGUGGCGGAAGCGACUCACUUGCCUCCCUGCAGAGCGCCUGCUUUUUGAGAGACUACAAAAUUAGCCCCACGUGAUAGUCCAGCUCUAUAAAAACAGAGUCCUCCUUGUGAAAAAACAAUGCAAAACUUCAUUAUAUAAAACAGUGGAAAAUUUACCAACGAUAUGUAUAAAGGGUGGAAAACCCAUUCAGAAUAAUAUACAGACACAUCUAAUGACUUCUAAUCAGGCACUAUUCUAACCUGACUUUUCCUUAAGAACUCCUAUUUCAAGGGGUUCUAGCAGGCUCUCUUUCAGAGUUCUGUCUGUCUGUCUCAGCUUCUGUCCUAUGAUUUUGUGGAGUUUAUUUCUGCCUUUUCCUGAGGUUUGAAAAAAACUGUGCAGUCUCUUUCUUCCUACGUAGAUCUUCACACAAAACGGGCAAAGCUUUGCUGUAUGGGUUACUUGAUCAACCAUUUGAAGAUGGACAAAAAAAGACUUUUUCUUUCUUUGGCGAGGAAGAUUGGCCCUGAGCUAAUAUCUGUUGCCAAUCUUCCUCUAUUUUACCCGGGACACCGCCACAGCGUGGCUUGACGAGUGGGGUAGGUCUGCCCCCAGAAUCCGAACCUAGGAACCCUGGGUCGGAGAAGUGGAGUGGGCAAACUUAACCACUACGCCACCAGGCUGACUCCGCAAAAGACUUUUUAAGCUGCCUGAACAUAAGUACUGAUGUUUUGGAGCUCGGGCAAGCCAUAGAACCUCUCUGAUCUCAGCUUUCUCACCUGUAAAAUGUGGGUUGUCAUAACACCGCCCUCAUGGGGUUGUUUUAAGAUUGGAUAAGAAGAGGACAAGGAGACACUCCGAAAAUUGCAAAUCACUCUAUCAAUGUUGUGGAUGAAUAUAUCUCUUUAGAAAAGAUGCUGCCCGGAAGAGAAACCGUCUAGUUAAUUUUAAUAAGCAAGCUGGCUUUGGGGGGUUAGCUCACAAGUGUGACGAUUGUGGAACAAUCCAUGCAUGCUGAGUGUGGAGGGCGCGCUCCGCCCCUCCUCUGGAGUCUGGAACCCGGACCUCGGCGGCCAUCCUGGUGGAAGCCCACGCAGUGGCCCACGUGCAGUCUGCUCGGCAUAACACGCCGAAUGGCUGCUUCACUGGGAGGAGGCCAUUGUGAAAUCGGUGGUUUCCUGGAGCUCGUCAUCGCCAUAAAUAAAGAAUGUGAAAAUUGAGAAGUUAAUUUUCCACUUCUAUCUUUGGGGCAAAGCAGGCUAUUUAUCAUCUCAUCAAACCAGGGUGGUAACGCUCUGUGUAGAGUCCGGAGCCGGCCUAGGCGGGGUCUACACGGCUUGUGAGCGGCGCAGAAUGGUUUUUGCUGCUGGGGUCUCCCACUCCACGUGGAGGUCCUGGAAUAAGGGUUAGAGUAGUAGGUCCUAACACCGGUUGGCCUGAGGGCCUGGGUUACACCUGACCUGCACGAUAUUUUUAUGUUUUUAAAAUUUGAUCCAGUAUUUAAAAAUUGGGAACUUUUAUAUGUUAAAUCUGGAUUUCUGGCUUCUUUUAAAAAAUUGGAAGACUCAGCGCCCUUGGUCUUAAUUACCCGCUGGAAGCUACCGAUGGGUGCUGAGGGGCCGUGGCCUCUUCACUGGGGCAGAGGUAGGCAGUUUGCCCUAGUCCCCUCUUUCUCUGUUUUAUCAUCUCCGGGUCUGCCUCGCUCAUUUAUGUCGCCUGCCUGGCACCUUGUCGCAUAUGAGUUUGCAAGCUCUGAAUUAGCCUGUGAAAAGUCUGGGAAUUAUGCAUAGUUAAAAAUUUUUUUCUUUUAAGGCCAGUGUGAUGACUGCAAAGCCCACACUCUGAGAGAAUGUGUGGUUAUAACCAUAGACAA